AGGCACACCUGAUGUUUCUUCUAAAAGGCAGUAUCACAGAGGAGUCAAGUCUCAGAGAGGAGUCCAAACGUUGUCUGCACUUUCUUGUUUCAAAUAAAAAGACUGCUCUUUACAAGAAACAUUUAUUUUAUUUCUUCUAUAUUUCUUUGUCACAGAAGUAAAUGUUUGCUAAUUUCCUUAAAAAUAAACAUGGCUAGAAGACAGUGGAUUUCUGUAGAAGAAAUUUGUUUGCCAAAUCAACUUACGGCCCUCUCCACAUGACUGAAGCUCUCUCUAGAUAACUUAC
Molecule: non-coding RNA, 286 nt
Organism: Pelobates cultripes (western spadefoot toad)
Lineage: Eukaryota; Metazoa; Chordata; Amphibia; Anura; Pelobatidae
Source: the annotation of a GenBank genome assembly